RNAcentral lists this ribosomal RNA (484 nucleotides) under uncultured bacterium. Its description in RNAcentral is "partial 16S ribosomal RNA". It matches the Rfam family "Bacterial small subunit ribosomal RNA", at positions 30 to 507 of the family's 1533-position model. The record is from RNAcentral.
AUUGAACGCUGGCGGAAUGCUCUACACAUGCAAGUCGAGCGGCAGCACGGGGGCAACCCUGGUGGCGAGUGGCGAACGGGUGAGUAAUACAUCGGAACGUGCCCGGUCGUGGGGGAUAACGUAGCGAAAGUUACGCUAAUACCGCAUACGAUCUGAGGAUGAAAGCGGGGGACCUUCGGGCCUCGCGCGAUCGGAGCGGCCGAUGUCAGAUUAGGUAGUUGGUGGGGUAAAGGCCUACCAAGCCGACGAUCUGUAGCUGGUCUGAGAGGACGACCAGCCACACUGGGACUGAGACACGGCCCAGACUCCUACGGGAGGCAGCAGUGGGGAAUUUUGGACAAUGGGCGCAAGCCUGAUCCAGCCAUUCCGCGUGCAGGACGAAGGCCUUCGGGUUGUAAACUGCUUUUGUAUGGAACGAAAAGGCUCUGGCUAAUACCUGGGGCUCAUGACGGUACCGUAAGAAUAAGCACCGGCUAACUACGUG